UCUCCGUAGGUGAACCAGCGGAGGGAUCAUUACAGAGUUCAGGCCCUACCGGGUCUAUCGCCCACCCUAUGUUAUUAUUACUUUGUUAAUUUGGCGGACCGGUAGGCUCCGGCCCGGCUAACUACCCCGGCUCGGAAGCGCCCAUCAGUGUGCCCAAAACCCUGUAUGUAAGUAUCGGCUGAAUACGGCAUAAUAGUUAAAAGUUUCAACAACGGAUCUCUUGGUGCUGGCAUCGCUGAAGAACGCUGCAAAACGGAAAAGCACACGUCUUAACUCGAU
Molecule: unclassified non-coding RNA, 279 nt
Filed under: plant metagenome
Description: partial contains small subunit ribosomal RNA, internal transcribed spacer 1, and 5.8S ribosomal RNA
Source: RNAcentral